ACUUGGAUUUUAAAAAUUCGUUCUUGGUUUUCGUAAAAUUCAAAACCCAUUUGAUAAACCAAAUACUGCUCGUUCAAAAAAAUUCAUUUAAGGUUUUAGAAAAUUUGAAACUAUUUCGAUAAACUUCAAAUUACAUACAACUAAUUUCAGUUUACGUGAAAAGAAAGUAAACAAAAAAGAAUGCCGAUUAGAAAUACCCAAGGGGUUGUCACCUCUAAUUUUCCAGAUUUUUCUAGAAAUUGUUACUUACAAAGCGCGGAAUUAACUAAAGGGCGAGGCGGGCAGACGAGGCAGUCUUUUGGAAAAUUUUGUUUUUACCCCUUUUUAACUUGUUUCUUUUAACAAUUCCGUGUUAUUCCCCCUUUUCCAAGAAAUAUUUGAGACUUUUGCGGCUAAACCCUUCUUUUUAUCACAAAUUUUCCCCUUCCCUGCGUUUCCCACGUUUUGGAUUUAAAGAAAACAAUGAAACGUCAUUGUCAAGUUUAGCUUUAAAACAACGUCAUUUGGCCGAAAAUAGAUUUAAAUACGAUAAGGGAUAUGUGAGAAGAAGAAACAAACAAAUUAAUUUUUUUUUUAGUAUCGGGAUUCGCUGAUUCUGGUUAUUCCCUUUUAAUUUAUCAGUUGUUAUUUUACAGACGUCUCGUUUGUAUCCAGAAUUGAACAUCUUUUUUUCAGCCGUACGAAACAAGGGAAAGAAGGAGUUAGACCGCAGCUGUACAAACUCGCGUGGUGAUUUCAUGGAAUACCAAACUGCUGAAGUAGGAAAUACUGAGAAGACGCUUGUAAUCAAUCACCAAAUGGUCAUCGAGAAAAUUAAACUCUAAGACAAGGAUCAGCAGAAAUGGAAGUGAAUUAUAAACAGAAUUAUGACAUUCUCUGUCUUCAUUGAUCAAGAGAAUAGAUGUAACGUUCUGUUGACUAUCGCCUUCAAAAUAAAGAUGUUAAAUCAAUUAUUCAAAUAUAUAUUUAGUUUAGAUGACAGCUACUUUAUCAUUACACUGCUGACCAAACCAAAAAAAUGUUUUUUUCCUCUUUUCUAUAUUUAUAUUGAAAACCAAUUUCUUAGUAAAGCACUUUGACAAGAACCAAACAGGAGAGUUGGUCAACAGACUCUCUACUGACACUACCAAGUCAUCAAGUGUAUCACUGCUUACCUUGCAGAUGGAAUAAAAUGAAUCAUUUCCAACAGGCAAAAAUUAUAUUCGUAUUGAAAUUCUGUCACUUCUUCUUUCUGCUGCACGGAGAGAUUUUAAAACAAGUCCCACUUGUUCUUCACCUUCUUUACAUUUCUGAAUGCCCAGGGCUAACUUUUUGAAUCCAGGGACUCUCAUUUUUACUCUUAACUUCACAGGAACAUCUUCUAGUUUUCCUUGCUAGUGAGUAGUGACAUAUAAAAUGUUAUUCAGCAGUAUAUUUUGAAUGCAUUGA
Long non-coding RNA from Daphnia pulex (common water flea), 1428 nucleotides. RefSeq lists it as uncharacterized. NCBI's taxonomy places the organism in Eukaryota, Metazoa, Arthropoda, Branchiopoda, Diplostraca, Daphniidae. The record is from RefSeq and is a predicted model, not a curated record. The transcript has 3 exons.